UACAGAGGGCUCAAGCGUUGUUCGGAUUCAUUGGGCGUAAAGGGUGUGUAGGUGGCGCCGUAAGUCGGGUGUGAAAUUUCGGAGCUUAACUCCGAAACUGCAUUCGAUACUGCGGUGCUUGAGGACUGGAGAGGAGACUGGAAUUCAUGGUGUAGCAGUGAAAUGCGUAGAGAUCAUGAGGAAGACCAGUUGCGAAGGCGGGUCUCUGGACAGUUCCUGACACUGAGACACGAAGGCCAGGGGAGCAAACGGG
This 253-nucleotide ribosomal RNA is filed under the name uncultured bacterium. RNAcentral's name for it is "partial 16S ribosomal RNA". It matches the Rfam family "Bacterial small subunit ribosomal RNA", at positions 524 to 776 of the family's 1533-position model. The record is from RNAcentral.